UUUGCUUCUCAGCCUUUUGGCUAAGAUCAAGUGUCAUAUCUGUUCUUAUCAGUUUCAUAUCUGACCUUUUCUAUCCAAGGAGAGUAUAUUAAAUAUAUUUCUGGAGCAGGGAGAUGGAAUAGGGACUUGCUCUGUCCAUUCUGCGUAUCAACAGGGUAUUGCAGUACUUAUGGGAAUGGAGUACCAAGG
Molecule: small nuclear RNA, 189 nt
Organism: Phyllostomus discolor (pale spear-nosed bat)
Lineage: Eukaryota; Metazoa; Chordata; Mammalia; Chiroptera; Phyllostomidae
Product: U2 spliceosomal RNA
Exons: 1
Source: RefSeq, a predicted model, not a curated record